UGGGGAAUUUUGGACAAUGGGGGCAACCCUGAUCCAGCAAUGCCGCGUGUGUGAAGAAGGCCUUCGGGUUGUAAAGCACUUUUGUCAGGAACGAAACGGUGAGGGCUAAUAUCCCUUGCUAAUGACGGUACCUGAAGAAUAAGCACCGGCUAACUACGUGCCAGCAGCCGCGGUAAUACGUAGGGUGCAAGCGUUAAUCGGAAUUACUGGGCGUAAAGCGUGCGCAGGCGGUUGUGCAAGACAGAUGUGAAAUCCCCGGGCUUAACCUGGGAAUGGCAUUUGUGACUGCACGGCUAGAGUGUGUCAGAGGGGGGUAGAAUUCCACGUGUAGCAGUGAAAUGCGUAGAUAUGUGGAGGAAUACCGAUGGCGAAGGCAGCCCCCUGGGAUAACACUGACGCU
RNAcentral lists this ribosomal RNA (400 nucleotides) under uncultured bacterium. RNAcentral's name for it is "bacterial SSU rRNA". It matches the Rfam family "Bacterial small subunit ribosomal RNA", at positions 355 to 747 of the family's 1533-position model. The record is from RNAcentral.